Molecule: long non-coding RNA, 1198 nt
Filed under: Pongo abelii (Sumatran orangutan)
Lineage: Eukaryota; Metazoa; Chordata; Mammalia; Primates; Hominidae
Description: lincRNA
Source: RNAcentral
UGCUGUCCCACGUCCCCAUCUCUGUGGCCAGCUCCGCCCACUCAGCCUCAGCCUUGCUGGGGCCUGGCCCGACCUCAGGAGUCCCUGCUGGCCUGGCCACCCUUGCGCCUUCGCCUCAGCCAUUGGGGAGGCUGGGGUGGUCUCAGGGCUAACGCCAGGUGAGACCUCAGGGGAGGUCAGGGGCUUCGGAACAAAAACGGCACCCCCAUACCUGAUGGGGCUCCUCUGAGCCCACCUGGACUGACCCCUUGUGGCCGCCAGGCGCAGCUGGUGGCCUGAAUGUGGGGGCAGCAUCACCCCUGAGUCCAGAGAGCCAGAGCACAGCGGGAUCCAGGAAGGCCCCAGGUACAGACAUUGCCUGGCUUCCUCCACGCCCCGAGAUCCAGCUGCGUCUCCUCUGUCCCGGGGAAACUUAUGGGCGAAAGCCCCUCUGCAAGGCCCACUACCCAAAGCCAGCCACAGGUGCUCAGGCCAGGGCUCAGGGGCUGUGGGGCUCAGGGGCCGUGGGGGCUGGUGGCCCCAGCCCUUCCGGAUCCACUCCCCACCCCUCACUCACUCCAUGGGGACCUUCAUCUGCCUAGAUGGGCUGGUCUGUGCUCUGAUGGCCCCAGGACUGGGUGUCGGCCUCACCCCAGCGCCCAGGCAGCCUCCCGGCCAGAGCAGAAUGUUGGAAGGGCAUGGCCCAUGGCUCCCGGCCAGGGCCCACCUGUGUUUGUCUCCUCACCCCGGCCUCCUCCAGCCUCAGGCCCUGCCUGUCAGACAGAGCAUCUGCCCAGGGGGUCCUCAGAGAGCAGUUGCUACCUGCAGAGUGAGUCCCCAGAGCCCCUGCCACAGGCACCCCAGCCUCAGGUCAGGUCUGGAAUGGACACAGCCCCCAGACCAAGACCAGGACCUCCUCACACUGGGAUCCCCUCCCUUGGUGUCGGGUGCCACCCAAACUCCCUGGACGUCUCCCCUCUGCCCUCCACGCCCUGCAUCCUGGGUAGGAGCCGCCUUCACACCUGCUAACCCCUGCCCUCCAGCCCCCACUGCCUUUCCGGUAACGGGGCUGUGUCUGGCCUAAGCCCUGGGCCUCCAUACGGCCCCUGUCCAGCACACCUUGCUCAACCCCAGCGUCCUGCAUCACGCCUGCCUCUUAGUGUUUGGGGUGUGCAUGUGUAUUUAUACACUGUAAUUACAUAAAUACAAUUUAAUAAUC